This 205-nucleotide ribosomal RNA is filed under the name Clostridioides difficile. RNAcentral's name for it is "partial 23S ribosomal RNA". It matches the Rfam family "Bacterial large subunit ribosomal RNA", at positions 1339 to 1540 of the family's 2925-position model. Lineage: Bacteria; Bacillati; Bacillota; Clostridia; Peptostreptococcales; Peptostreptococcaceae. The record is from RNAcentral.
GUAAACCCAAGGUUUCCAGGGGAAGGUUCGUCCGCCCUGGGUUAGUCGGGACCUAAGCUGAGGCCGAAAGGCGUAGGGGAUGGACAACAGGUUGAUAUUCCUGUACUACCGAUAACCGUUUGAGAGAUGGGAUGACACAGUAGGAUAAGCUAAGCACACUGUUGGUUAUGUGUGCCCAAGCAUUGAGGCAGUCAAAGUAACCAAA